RNAcentral lists this transfer RNA (74 nucleotides) under Planctomycetaceae bacterium. RNAcentral describes it as "tRNA-Arg". It matches the Rfam family "tRNA". From Rfam's summary of the family: Transfer RNA (tRNA) molecules are approximately 80 nucleotides in length. Their secondary structure includes four short double-helical elements and three loops (D, anti-codon, and T loops). RNAcentral also lists the same sequence under 4 other names. The record is from RNAcentral. Lineage: Bacteria; Pseudomonadati; Planctomycetota; Planctomycetia; Planctomycetales; Planctomycetaceae.
GUCCCUGUAGCUCAGUUGGAUAGAGCAUCGGUCUUCUAAACCGGCGGUCGCAGGUUCGAAUCCUGCCAGGGACG